UACGGGGGGGGGCAAGCGUUGUUCGGAAUUACUGGGCGUAAAGGGCUCGCAGGCGGCCAACUAAGUCAUACGUGAAAUCCCUCGGCUUAACCGGGGAACUGCGUCUGAUACUGGAUGGCUUGAGUUCGGGAGAGGGAUGCGGAAUUCCAGGUGUAGCGGUGAAAUGCGUAGAUAUCUGGAGGAACACCGGUGGCGAAGGCGGCAUCCUGGACCGAUACUGACGCUGAGGAGCGAAAGCCAGGGGAGCAAACGGG
Molecule: ribosomal RNA, 254 nt
Filed under: uncultured bacterium
Lineage: Bacteria
Description: partial 16S ribosomal RNA
Rfam family: Bacterial small subunit ribosomal RNA
Source: RNAcentral